AAAAACAUGUCUUUUUGAAUAUAAUUUAAAGUCUAACCUGCCCACUGAAAAUUUUAAAGGGCCGCGGUAUAUUGACUGUGCAAAGGUAGCAUAAUCAUUUGUCUCUUAAUUGGAGGCUAGAAUGAAAGGUUGAAUGAAGUAUUAACUGUCUCAUUUUAAAAAUUUAAAAAUUUAAUUUUUAAGUUAAAAAGCUUAAAUUUAAUUAGAGGACGAGAAGACCCUAUAGAUCUUUAUAAUUAAGUAUUUUGUUUAAUUUAGAUUUAUAUUUUAUAUAAAAUAUUUAAUUAUUUUAUUGGGGUGAUAGGAAAAUUUGUUUAACUUUUUUUAUAUAAUACCAUUGAUUUAUGAAAUUUUGAUCCAUUAUUAUUGAUUAUAAGAUUAAGUUACCUUAGGGAUAACAGCGUAAUGUUUUUAAAGAGUUCUUAUCGAUAAAAAAGAUUGCGACCUCGAUGUUGAAUUAAAGAUUAUUUCUAGAUGCAGAAGUUUAGAGUUUAGGUCUGUUCGACCUUUAAAUCUUUACAUGAUCUGAG
Molecule: ribosomal RNA, 530 nt
Filed under: Gerstaeckerella chilensis
Lineage: Eukaryota; Metazoa; Arthropoda; Insecta; Neuroptera; Mantispidae
Description: partial 16S ribosomal RNA
Rfam family: Bacterial large subunit ribosomal RNA
Source: RNAcentral